Non-coding RNA from Oryza punctata, 205 nucleotides. The record is from Rfam. NCBI's taxonomy places the organism in Eukaryota, Viridiplantae, Streptophyta, Magnoliopsida, Poales, Poaceae.
UUUAAGUAUAAUCAUAAGUUUUUUAAUUCAACUUUAAUUAUCUAUCUUAUCUGAAGUUUGUUUAUGAUUAUUAUUUUUAUUAUUAUUAGAUGAUAAAAUAUGAAUAGUAUUUUAUACGUGAUUUAUGUUUUUAAAUUUUUUUAAAAAUUUUUUAAAUAAAACUGAUAAUUAAAAUUGAACACGGAAACUCAUGACUUCAUUUUAA